This is a transfer RNA of Sphingomonas sp. Root710, 82 nucleotides long. It matches the Rfam family "tRNA". From Rfam's summary of the family: Transfer RNA (tRNA) molecules are approximately 80 nucleotides in length. NCBI's taxonomy places the organism in Bacteria, Pseudomonadati, Pseudomonadota, Alphaproteobacteria, Sphingomonadales, Sphingomonadaceae. The record is from Rfam.
GCGGGCGUGGUGAAACUGGUAGACGCGCCGGACUCAAAAUCCGGUUCCGCAAGGAGUGUCGGUUCGAGCCCGACCGCCCGCA